RNAcentral lists this ribosomal RNA (1701 nucleotides) under Triticum aestivum (bread wheat). Its description in RNAcentral is "partial small subunit ribosomal RNA". Lineage: Eukaryota; Viridiplantae; Streptophyta; Magnoliopsida; Poales; Poaceae. The record is from RNAcentral.
AUGCUCGCCUACCCAAGCACGUCGACCCCGCCGUGGCCGCAGCGCCACCCGGCCGCCGCUUCCCCGCGCCGCGUCGCGGUGGCGGCCGCGCCCGCGGGUGCGCCGGCCAGGGGCAAGCGGCGGCGGGCGGGCGCCGGGGAGGCGGAGGCCGACCCGGCCGCCGAGGCCGCGGAGCUGGUGCGGUUCUUCCUGCGCAAGAGCGACGGCGGCAAGGACCGGCUGGUGUCCGUGCUGGACCGCCACGUCAAGGUGGUCCGCACCGAGCACUGCUUCCUCCUCUUCGAGGAGCUCGGCCGCCGCGAUGGCUGGGUCCAGUGCCUCGAGAUUUUCAGGUGGAUGCAGAAGCAGCGGUGGUACGUGGCUGACAACGGCAUCUAUUCAAAGCUGAUAUCUGUGAUGGGAAGAAAGGGGCAGAUACGGAUGGCCAUGUGGCUCUUCUCUCAGAUGCGCAACAGCGGGUGCAAGCCGGACACUUCGGUGUACAAUUCCCUCAUCGGUGCGCAUCUGCAUUCACGGGACAAGAGUAAGGCUUUGGUGAAAGCUCUCGGCUAUUUUGACAAGAUGAAGGGCAUGGAGAGAUGCCAGCCGAAUAUUGUGACGUACAACAUCCUCUUGAGGGCGUGUGCUCGGGCUAGUGACACGAAGCAGGUGGACAUCCUUUUCAAGGAUCUGGAUGAAAGCAUAGUCUCUCCAGAUAUCUACACGUAUAAUGGAGUGAUCGACGGAUAUGGGAAGAAUGGCAUGAUUACAGAGAUGGAGUCUGUAUUGGUCCGGAUGAAAAGCAAGCGGUGCCGUCCAGAUGUGAUCACAUUCAACAUACUCAUAGAUUCGUAUGGGCGAAAGCAGACAUUCGACAAGAUGGAGCAGGUGUUCAAGAGUUUAUUGCGAUCCAAGGAGAGACCUACCCACCCAACGUUCAAUUCCAUGAUAACAAACUAUGGGAAAGCAAGGCUUAGAGAGAAAGCUGAGUCUGUACUUGAGAAGAUGGGAGAAUUGGGAUUCAAACCGAAUUAUGUGACGCAAGAGUGCCUCAUCAAUAUGUACGCAUAUUGUGAUUGCGUCUCAAAGGCCCAGCAGAUAUUUGAUGAGCUCGUAAGCUCACAAAGUACUGUUCCCCUAUCUUCAUUGAAUGCAAUGCUUGAUGCCUACUGCAUGAACCGCUUGCCUAUGGAAGCAGAUCGGCUGUUGGAUAGUGUGAUUGAGAAAGGUGUAGUGCCCAGUGCUUCCACAUAUAAGCUGCUUUACAAGGCAUACACCAGGGCUAACGAUAAGAUGCUUGUCCAGAAGCUGCUCCAGCGGAUGAAUAAGCAGGGUAUUGUUCCGAAUAAGAAGUUCUUCCUUGAUGCCCUGGAAGCAUUUGGCACCUCUCCCAGUAAACCCAGGAGAGUACAAACCUCAAACUCUGCAAGAGAGUCAAGUAGAGAUUCUGCAAGUAAUUCGGAAAUGGCUAGUUCAAGCAAGCCAGUGUUAAGUACUUUGGAAGCAGUUGGCGCUUCCAAGAAAACCCCCAGGAUAUUACCCAAUUCAAACUCUGCAAGCAAGCCAGAAACAGGUUCCAAGAUGAACUGGCGAACAUUAGGGAGACCUCAACACUGGAUUUCAAACAAUAUGGAGCCAUGUGAGCUCACCACCUCUGAGAUGUCCCCCUUCAUGAGACUCCGGCUCUUUCCACUCCAGACUUCAGUGCAGUGUCAAGGUUGA